UUCGGAUGUCUAACUGCCUUAGAAUGGAC
Molecule: small RNA, 29 nt
Filed under: Bombyx mori (domestic silkworm)
Lineage: Eukaryota; Metazoa; Arthropoda; Insecta; Lepidoptera; Bombycidae
Description: ovarian small RNA-4044
Source: RNAcentral